UAGAGUUUGAUCCUGGCUCAGGACGAACGCUGGCGGCGUGCCUAAUACAUGCAAGUAGAACGCUGAAAGAGAGGAGCUUGCUCUUCUUGGAUGAGUUGCGAACGGGUGAGUAACGCGUAGGUAACCUGCCUUGUAGCGGGGGAUAACUAUUGGAAACGAUAGCUAAUACCGCAUAACAAUGGAUGACACAUGUCAUUUAUUUGAAAGGGGCAAUUGCUCCACUACAAGAUGGACCUGCGUUGUAUUAGCUAGUAGGUGAGGUAAUGGCUCACCUAGGCGACGAUACAUAGCCGACCUGAGAGGGUGAUCGGCCACACUGGGACUGAGACACGGCCCAGACUCCUACGGGAGGCAGCAGUAGGGAAUCUUCGGCAAUGGGGGCAACCCUGACCGAGCAACGCCGCGUGAGUGAAGAAGGUUUUCGGAUCGUAAAGCUCUGUUGUAAGUCAAGAACGGGUGUGAGAGUGGAAAGUUCACACUGUGACGGUAGCUUACCAGAAAGGGACGGCUAACUACGUGCCAGCAGCCGCGGUAAUACGUAGGUCCCGAGCGUUGUCCGGAUUUAUUGGGCGUAAAGCGAGCGCAGGCGGUUUGAUAAGUCUGAAGUUAAAGGCUGUGGCUCAACCAUAGUUCGCUUUGGAAACUGUCAAACUUGAGUGCAGAAGGGGAGAGUGGAAUUCCAUGUGUAGCGGUGAAAUGCGUAGAUAUAUGGAGGAACCACCGGUGGCGAAACGCGGCUUCUCUGGUCUGUAANCUGACCGCUGANGCUCGAAAGCGUGGGGAGCGAACAGGAUUAGAUACCCUGGUAGUCCACGCCGUAAACGAUGAGUGCUAGGUGUUGGAUCCUUUCCGGGAUUCAGUGCCGAAGCUAACGCAUUAAGCACUCCGCCUGGGGGAGUACGACCGCAAGGUUGAAACUCAAAGGAAUUGACGGGGGCCCGCACAAGCGGUGGAGCAUGUGGUUUANUUCGAAGCACNCNAAAAACCUUACCAGGUCUUGACAUCCCGAUGCUAU
Molecule: ribosomal RNA, 1015 nt
Filed under: uncultured bacterium
Lineage: Bacteria
Description: bacterial SSU rRNA
Rfam family: Bacterial small subunit ribosomal RNA
Source: RNAcentral